GUAGACAUAGUUUAACUAAAACACUAGAUUGUGAUUCUAAAAAUAGGGGUUAAAAUCCCCUUGUCCACC
This 69-nucleotide transfer RNA is filed under the name Alepocephalus umbriceps (slickhead). Its description in RNAcentral is "tRNA-His". It matches the Rfam family "tRNA". Rfam says of the family: Transfer RNA (tRNA) molecules are approximately 80 nucleotides in length. Their secondary structure includes four short double-helical elements and three loops (D, anti-codon, and T loops). Further hydrogen bonds mediate the characteristic L-shaped molecular structure. tRNAs have two regions of fundamental functional importance: the anti-codon, which is responsible for specific mRNA codon recognition, and the 3' end, to which the tRNAs corresponding amino acid is attached (by aminoacyl-tRNA synthetases). tRNAs cope with the degeneracy of the genetic code in two manners: having more than one tRNA (with a specific anti-codon) for a particular amino acid; and 'wobble' base-pairing, i.e. permitting non-standard base-pairing at the 3rd anti-codon position. The record is from RNAcentral. Lineage: Eukaryota; Metazoa; Chordata; Actinopteri; Alepocephaliformes; Alepocephalidae.